This is a long non-coding RNA of Acanthaster planci (crown-of-thorns starfish), 583 nucleotides long. The record is from RefSeq and is a predicted model, not a curated record. Lineage: Eukaryota; Metazoa; Echinodermata; Asteroidea; Valvatida; Acanthasteridae.
GAGUUUACCAAAAUCGCUGCGCGCCCAGUUCGGCGCGUUGUCGCCUCAACGUCGAACCACACUCACGCCACCGAAGUCAUUAGUUUGAGUGUGCAUGGUCGUUCCAUAUACUGGUUUGCGUCGUCUUCUUAAUGAAACUUCUGUACGUUUGAAAAGUUUACUCCAGUAGUUGUUUCAAAAGUAAGAAGUGAGAACCCCGACGUCGCUCGAUGAUGACGUUUGAUCUUCUUGUUGUCAUCGUGUUCUCCACGCUAUGCCAUGGCGCUGAGGAACCUUUACAUCUGACCAUGGCUACAAGCAACUUCUACAGGGCUGGGUCAUCUUCACCAGUCCGCAUGGCUUGUUUUCGCAGCAGUCCUGACAAAGACGCUGCUCUUAGUUUCGGUCGACCUUUCCCCAUCGGCCUUCCAGGAGCUGGAAUCGAGUUCUCUACUUCCCUUCCUGAAGGCUCCGUCGCUGGAGAAGUCGAUGGACAGGCCUUCUGGCAGUUGCCCUUCAGCAAUAGGAAUGCAACAGGGUUAUAUUACUGCGAAGGAAGGGAGAGAGACCAGACGACUCGGGUGUAUGGCGUUAUUUACCACAU